RNAcentral lists this ribosomal RNA (442 nucleotides) under uncultured bacterium. RNAcentral describes it as "partial 16S ribosomal RNA". It matches the Rfam family "Bacterial small subunit ribosomal RNA", at positions 338 to 795 of the family's 1533-position model. The record is from RNAcentral.
CCUACGGGUGGCAGCAGUGGGGAAUAUUGGGCAAUGGGCGCAAGCCUGACCCAGCAACGCCGCGUGAAGGAAGAAGGCUCUCGGGUUGUAAACUUCUUUUUUCACGGAAGAAUAGGUGACCGUGCCUGACGAAUAACCCACGGCUCACUAAGUGCCACCAUCCGCGGUAAUACGUAGGUGGCAGGCGUUGUCCGGAUUUACUGGGUGUAAAGGGCGUGUAGCCGGGUUGACAAGUCAGAUGUGAAAUUCUGCGGCUUAACCGCAGAACUGCAUUGGACACUGUUGAUCUUGAGUACUGGAGAGGCAGAUGGAAUUCGUAGUGUAGCGGUGAAAUGCGUAGAUAUUAGGAGGAACACCAGUGGCGAAGGCGGUCUGCUGGACAGCAACUGACGGUGAGGCGCGAAAGCGUGGGGAGCAAACAGGAUUAGAUACCCCAGUAGUC